This 375-nucleotide ribosomal RNA is filed under the name uncultured bacterium. RNAcentral describes it as "bacterial SSU rRNA". It matches the Rfam family "Bacterial small subunit ribosomal RNA", at positions 29 to 407 of the family's 1533-position model. The record is from RNAcentral.
AUUGAACGCUGGCGGCAUGCCUUACACAUGCAAGUCGAACGGCAGCACGGGAGCAAUCCUGGUGGCGAGUGGCGAACGGGUGAGUAAUAUAUCGGAACGUGCCCAGUGAUGGGGGAUAGCCCGGCGAAAGCCGGAUUAAUACCGCAUACGACCUACGGGUGAAAGCAGGGGAUCGCAAGACCUUGCGUCAUUGGAGCGGCCGAUAUCAGAUUAGCUUGNGGUGAGGUAAAGCCUACCAAGGCGACGAUCUGUAGCUGGUCUGAGAGGACGACCAGCCACACUGGGACUGAGACACGGCCCAGACUCCUACGGGAGGCAGCAGUGGGGAAUUUUGGACAAUGGGCGCAAGCCUGAUCCAGCCAUGCCGCGUGCGGG